CCUGGGUGGCCUGAGGAAGAGGGAGGGAGGUUGAGGUUGACGGAAGGGGCGGGGGCGUAGCUGACGCCGCCGCCCCCACCAUUUUGGAGCGGCUUCUCCGGAGGCUGAAGGAGGCCCUGGGCGCCACCCACUCGCCGACUGCCUGUGUCCUCGGAACUUCUCCAGGCUGGCGGCCACCCGGCGACUUGGUUUUCAUUCUCCGCCAUGCCCUCUUCCCGCUUUGUGACCUUGAGCAUAUCGUUUCUAUAUAAAGUGAGCGAGCCGGCUUCCAGGACGGAAGAAUUCAUCUUCCCAGCAAUGGGUAAAGCAUAAAUUGGCAACAGUCCUGUACUGUAGUCACCUCUCCUGGCACACCUGCAGUAACUUCAGCCUGAUAGUUUGACAUUGGCCAUGAAAACUGGAGAAUUCUACAAACCUCAUCCUUCUGGAAAGCAACCCUCCCCCACAUCAUCUGUAUGCAGCCACCAGCACACCGGAGAUCGCCAAAACCUCACUGUGACUGAGUUUUCCAGCAGCCUUUGUAGCAGAGUUUCCCCGCAGACAAGCUGAUUUAGAAUGCCUAAAGAAGACUAAAAACAUAGCCGGAGCUGACCAUGACCGUCUCAUCCUCUCACCUCCAGCUCCUGAGUAUUGGGAAUUAGACUGUGUGACCACAACCAGAAAUGAGGCAUUUCUGACGUCUAACUCUGUAGAUUAACUGCAUACUUUCAAUGCAUGGUGAGAUACAACCCAGCACUUGAAAGGCAGGGGCAAGAUGAUUGCUUGAUAAGCAUAGUAAAGUCUAAGCCAGCCAGGGCUACAUAGCAAGACUUUGUCUCAAAAAAACAAGCCAACGAACAAAAUGUGUGUUUGUUGCUCUAAGUACCUUGUACACACACCCCAGGGCUCAUCUUUCUCCUCUCAAAGAGCAUGUCCUAGUACCUCACAGAACACACUACUAUCCUUUCUAGAUGGAAGGAAAAUAGACACUUGGGCCGGGUGGUGGUGGCGCAUGCCUUUAAUAAGCACUCGAGAGGCACAGCCAGGAGAAUCUUUGUGAGUUCAAGCACAGCCUGGUCUACAAAUUGAGA
Long non-coding RNA from Onychomys torridus (southern grasshopper mouse), 1070 nucleotides. RefSeq lists it as uncharacterized. NCBI's taxonomy places the organism in Eukaryota, Metazoa, Chordata, Mammalia, Rodentia, Cricetidae. The record is from RefSeq and is a predicted model, not a curated record. The transcript has 3 exons.